Clupea harengus (Atlantic herring) is the source of this 748-nucleotide long non-coding RNA. RefSeq lists it as uncharacterized. The transcript is spliced from 2 exons. NCBI's taxonomy places the organism in Eukaryota, Metazoa, Chordata, Actinopteri, Clupeiformes, Clupeidae. The record is from RefSeq and is a predicted model, not a curated record.
UACAUUAGAUAGCCUACUUUAAAAGGUGGGUGAAUUACUAACCGGUUUCAGCAUCUCAACCUCAGAGUUUUCUGAUACCACUUUCCUAUUCAAAACACGCGCUUCUGUUUGUAAGUCGCCUAUCAUCUGAACUACGGGUUGCAGAAUGGAUGACGACGCUGAUGAAAUCGCCGUUGUUGGCAUUGGCUGCAAUUUUCCGGGAGGAGAGGGAUUGGACCACUUCUGGGAUGUACUUCGGAAUGCGAAGAACUGUACGGUUGAGAUUCCAAACGAGAGGUUUGACCACUCCUACUGGUGUGACCAAGAUGAUAACAAACCUGGGAAAUCUCGUGCCUCUAAAGCUGCACUCAUUCAUGUGUAAUUUAACACUUUUUAUUAAACCAUAUCUAAAUAUCAUCAUCAUUUUCAUUGUAUGAUGAUAGCGCCUUUUGCGUCGCUUGGAGGCGCCUUGCAUCGCUGCCCGUGCUGCAUCCGCUGCCAUCCGCAGUCUCUCAUGAUGAUUUAACACCCAGUCAUCCAGAUUCUCUGACCCACUGUCGUCGAAAUCCAUUCCCCCAAGAAUAUCUCUUGGCAGUCACGCAUCUCUGCCAAAAAGCAAAUAGAACGGAGAGUAACCCGUAGAUGAAUGAAUGUGGCUAUUGUAUGCCAUCACCAGUUCAGGCAGGUGCUCUUUCAAGUUCUUCUUCUUGUUAGCUUGGAGGGACCGCAGCAUGUUGUGCAUAAUGCAAUUAAAUCUUUCGCACUGAGA